AAUCACAGCGGGCGAGAGCGGAGACUGGGAGCGAAAAAUCCGGGAUCAGGCAACUUUGGGCAGCGCAUGCGCGCCCGCGGCGCUCCAUCCCAAACACACACACAUUUUUCCCCCGGACUUGGAAAGUCACCCAAAGCCGCCCCAAGUGCAGGCAGACAGACCUCACUGAGUGAAAGCAAAGAUCCUCUCCGCCCCACCUGCCUUUGCUGCUGUCACGGCAUUGACCCCGCCUGUAAGAAGGUGGUCCUGCAGCUCCCGUGGUGUGUGUUGGAAUGGACUUCGGAUCCCGGCUUCUUGGGAUGCAAAGGAUGAAGUGACACCCAUACUGCCAGAGAGGAGCCUCCAGGACCGGCGACAAGAGUUUGGGACCAAAGAGAGGAGAAUGGAUCUUGGUACAGGUACCGGCCGGUGGGAACCGGGGGAGGCUCUUUCGCUUUUCUUUCGGUUCUUUUACGGAAGUUAUUAUUUUUAGCCCAAUGAGGUAGCAGCUGAGCAGGGGGUGGGGGCCGGCCUGGAGAGGGUCUGGUGCCGGCUGCGCUUCUCGCCCUGGUUUCUGGAUUGCGAGGCUUCCGAUGAUAUUAUUGUUAUUAUUUGUUACUUGCUUAGUGACUGUGACUAAUUUGAUGCUUGUCAUUGUGAAAGAACCGGGGGGAGAGAGGGAGCUGGGGGGCACCCAGAGAGAGGAUCUAGGGGUUUUUUGUGGGGGUUUUUGUUCUCCGUGUUUUUUGAAUGGCUCCGUGUUUUUUCUGUGUUUUUCUUUUCCCCAGCAAAAGAUCUCUAUGUGUCUGGCUGUGGGGUGUGUGUUUUUAUUUUUUUAGUGGGGGGUGGUUGAGUUUUUGAAAGCAGCGUCCUGUUGGGAAAGGUGGUUAGUCUGGUUUCGGGGCGACUGUCUCAAGGUAAAGGAAUUUAAUUUAUUUGGGACAAGGCUGUGUCGGAUGAUCAAGCUGCUUAUUAUGGCUAAUGAGUAUUUUUCACCUGAGAAUCCGUGGGAUGAGGCGGCUGUUAUCAGUUCAAAGUGAGGGGCCCUGGACUCUCUCCCAUCCCUCUUAGCCCUUGGGUCUGGGUUUUGGGGGGCCUAGCAUGACGCCUAGGUUAGGGUUCCAGAUAGCAUAGGUCUGGCCUGGAGCAGAGUUUAUCCUGAGAUUUGGGUGUUGUAUUGGUUUUAAUCUGAUUUUGUUCAACAUUUUUCUUCUCUUCCCAUCUGAGGUUCCAGUCUGAAUCCAGAGUGGGGUUUGCUUUUAAAUUCCUCAGGCUUUCCAGUAGCCUCAGUAUUAAAGUGGAAUUUUGACCAGGACCUUCAGGUCCUAGGCUGACAAAUGCACUGUCUUUGUCCUAAAUGUUUUUUUAGAAGGAGUCAGUGAUAAACAAGUUGAUAAUUCCAUUGAGCUUGAUCUCUGAACCUCUUCCGUUUCAUUUAUAAAAGGAGGUAUGCACUGCUGCUAGAGUCGUGGUUUACGAUGGCCCAAGUUCAUGGCAUUGCCUCUGGGGACCCAUGAGCUGCCAUUUGGCCUUCCAAAGUCGAAGGGGAGUUGGGCAGAGCGGAUAGGAGGCAGCGCUCCAGGGCUCAGGAUGGGUGAUGGGACGUGGCGGUUGGCCUUGGGAAGGAGGAGGGUGUGUUUGUGGAGGAAGGAUCUUUAAGACUACAUCCCGCCAGGUGUGAUCUUGGCACCUUUGAUGUGGAGGUCCUCAGGACCUCUGUGCCCGGGAAGGGUGCUACACCCCCUGCUGGGCAAAGUGGUUAAGGUGUCUUAAGGCCACGGCUGCCACCCUGCCCCUCCCUGCCCUUCGCUGGCACAGAGAAGCCGCCCGCCCCCACCUCUAGUCAGGUGUCUCAUCACUCCCUCUCAGGCCCCACCCCCUUUCUUCAGAAAUGGGGCCCCCACCCAUCCCAGCUAAGAAGCAGGCCUUCUAGAUGGGCCCAUGGUAACAACACACCACCCCCUACCUGGGACAGGCGGGCCUCCGCUUGUGGGCAAGCCGGUGGGACCCAGGAUUACGCAGCUGGAAGUCAGGCCGUCCUUACCUUCCUCUUUGUAACCCAGAUGCCACUUGGAGCUGGCGUCCAUCCUCCUGCCCUCUGCCAGCCUGCUGGGGGGGCUCGACUCCAAAGCCCUUCUGUAGGGUGAUCCCCACCUGGAGAGAGGGCCUCUGGGGCCUGCAGGUGGCAGAACUUCUUGUAGCAUCUCUCCCGGCACGUGUUUCUCCCAGCACUCUAGGGACAGGCUCUGGAAACUUUUCCUAGAAGUUACAAGGGCCCCUGAGGUCAGCUGGUCCCUCCCGUGGCUGGAGCAGGGCCCUCCCAGGAGGACCCAGGCCUGGACUCUGGCCACUCUGUGAGGGGAGGUCCAGGGUGUCAGCGUUCUGACUGUUUCCUGGAGGAGUCAUCUGGUGAUACCGUCUCAACCUUUUCUUUGAACUUGGAAGUUUCACUUAAUCUCAGAACUUCAGAAGAAAAGCGCUUUUUCCCCUCUUCACUAAAAAAGGGAAGCAGGUGAGAACACUCUGAGGUCCUCUCUGAGUCUGUCUCUGAGCCAACUCCCUGCUCAUCUUUUCUCAGCCUCUGGAAUGUCCUUCUGGAUGCAGCCAGGGACAGGGACCUUCUGGCCAGGGCUCCUUGCUGGUGUGGUACGGGGCCCUCUUCUGUGGGGGGCACCAGGGGCAGCUUCUGCCAAGGGCCUCUCUGGCACAGAACCAGGCUGGAGACCCAAGCCCCAAAGGGUUGCUGGCACCAUGGACUCAGUAAGCACUGGACUGGGGGUUCACAUCACCUCCAGCCCUGGACAGGUCUGGGUCCUGGAGCAUUCAGUGAUGGGAGAACCAGGGCCUCUCAGGAGGGGACAGCAGGACCUCACACCCCUCAGGGGCCAUGUGGACCCCUUUUCUUCCACCAUAGUUCAGCCAAGGGCUGGAUCAAUCUGGACGUCUUUAGCAAUAAAAAAUGCCGAUGUCGUCCUAAUUCACCAGGCCCCGAGAUGACAGCAAAUUUACAUUUUUUAAUUAAACUAGCAGCCAGUUUUUAUGAGAGGGGGUUGGGUUAUGCAAAUCAAAUGGUUGUGUACGGAAGAUUAGGAGAGUUUGGGAAUAAAUUCCACAAAUGCUAAUAAAAAAAAAAAAAA
This 3116-nucleotide long non-coding RNA is filed under the name Sus scrofa (pig). RNAcentral describes it as "lncRNA (ENSSSCG00035006554.1)". Lineage: Eukaryota; Metazoa; Chordata; Mammalia; Artiodactyla; Suidae. The record is from RNAcentral.